AAUAUGCUGUGCGAAAAAAAUAGUAAUAAAAGAAUCAUAAAUUCAAUUUGAUUCAAGAUUUAUUGAAUGUGAGUUGCGUUCAUGCGAUUGUCGAACAGCGGCAGCAGCCAAGCAGUCAAAGUUAUGGCAAAAGCUUUCGCUUACUCAGUCCUUGCUAUCAGACACACAUUCAAACACACUGACACACUCACUUUGAUAUAAAUCAUCGACUCUCGUGCUCUCUCUUGCGCGCUCGGCUCUCACAUGGCUUUAUAUUGCGUUGGCAGUGCACGAAUCAACUCAGUCGAUGACAGUCGGCCAGGCACGCAAGUCGCUUCAGCCAACGCUUCAGGAACAGCAGCAGCAGCAGCAGCAGCAGUCGCAGUAGCAGAGCAGCAGUCGCAGCAGCAACAGUCAAAGCCAAACUACAAGUCGUGUCGUGUGACAAGCUUCAGCAGCAGCUUAACCGUUACUUUUGGUUCGUGUUUCGGAAGAGUCGCUUGAAAUUCGAAGAGAUUGCUUAAAGUCGUGCGUCGCUUUUUUUUUUUUUUUAAUCGCUUCUAUGCCUUUUUAUGUUGCAAAUUUUAAUCUAAUUUCAUUCGCAUUUUUCUUUGUGUGCACUAUUCGCGCGUCUUUCUUCUUCUUCAGUUCUUUGAGCAAUUGAGCUUGUACCGCGCGGUAACGAUAAAGAUUGAGAAGAAGAGCUUAAACCCAAAAACACAAUAAACUGAUACAGGACAUCGUCUAUUUGCGAGGGUUUCGCGCAAAUAAAGCCAAUUAAACGGAAAAUAGACGCAGCGAAGCUAAGAUCUUCGGGCUCCUGUUGAGGCAGACGGUUUCCACUUAAACGUCCGAAUGAG
RNAcentral lists this unclassified non-coding RNA (839 nucleotides) under Drosophila mojavensis. RNAcentral describes it as "GI26462". Lineage: Eukaryota; Metazoa; Arthropoda; Insecta; Diptera; Drosophilidae. The record is from RNAcentral.